Molecule: small RNA, 357 nt
Filed under: Pongo abelii (Sumatran orangutan)
Lineage: Eukaryota; Metazoa; Chordata; Mammalia; Primates; Hominidae
Description: processed transcript
Source: RNAcentral
GCUGGUCCUCAAAGAGAUCUACCAAACCCAGGGUAUCUUCCUUGAUCAGCCUUUACAGUAAAAAUGACCCAUCUAUGGCUGCUUAAUGAGUCUCUUCCUCAAAUGUGUUCAGUCUGAGCUAUCUACUGUGAACACUCUCCCAUUUGCAGAACUUCACCUUUAAUCCACGCUAAAGAGGAUAAGAGACUAGGCUAUUUAUUUUCAAAACAGUUUACAAAACAAUGCUUUCUACUUCAUAAAUGUAAAAAGAAACUGUAAAAUAAGGAGAAUCUGAAGAGUUUCAAGUACUUAAAAAACCUGAAUUCAAUGAGGCAGAGGUCUCAAUGUUAAAGUGACUACUUCGUACCUGUGGUAAAC